AACGAACGCUGGCGGCAUGCCUAACACAUGCAAGUCGAACGAGACCUUCGGGUCUAGUGGCGCACGGGUGCGUAACGCGGGGGAACCUGCCCGUAGGUUCGGAAUAACUCCCCGAAAGGGGUGCUAAUACCGGAUAAUGUCUUCGGACCAAAGAUUUAUGGCCUUUGGAUGGGCCCGCGUUGGAUUAGCUAGUUGGUAGGGUAAAAGCCUACCAAGGCGACGAUCCAUAGCUGGUCUGAGAGGAUGAUCAGCCACACUGGGACUGAGACACGGCCCAGACUCCUACGGGAGGGAGGAGUGGGGAAUAUUGGACAAUGGGCGAAAGCCUGAUCCCGCAAUGCCGCGUGAGUGAUGAAGGCCUUAGGGUUGUAAAGCUCUUUUACCCGGGAUGAUAAUGACGGUACCGGGAGAAUAAGCUCCGGCUAACUCCGUG
RNAcentral lists this ribosomal RNA (433 nucleotides) under uncultured bacterium. RNAcentral's name for it is "partial 16S ribosomal RNA". It matches the Rfam family "Bacterial small subunit ribosomal RNA", at positions 29 to 507 of the family's 1533-position model. The record is from RNAcentral.